This 498-nucleotide ribosomal RNA is filed under the name uncultured bacterium. RNAcentral describes it as "partial 16S ribosomal RNA". It matches the Rfam family "Bacterial small subunit ribosomal RNA", at positions 30 to 523 of the family's 1533-position model. The record is from RNAcentral.
AUUGAACGCUGGCGGCAUGCCUUACACAUGCAAGUCGAACGGUAACAGGUCUUCGGAUGCUGACGAGUGGCGAACGGGUGAGUAAUACAUCGGAACGUGCCUAGUAGUGGGGGAUAACUACUCGAAAGAGUGGCUAAUACCGCAUGAGAUCUACGGAUGAAAGCAGGGGAUCGCAAGACCUUGUGCUACUAGAGCGGCCGAUGGCAGAUUAGGUAGUUGGUGGGAUAAAAGCUUACCAAGCCGACGAUCUGUAGCUGGUCUGAGAGGACGAUCAGCCACACUGGGACUGAGAAACGGCCCAGACUCCUACGGGAGGCAGCAGCGGGGAAUUUUGGACAAUGGGCGCAAGCCUGAUCCAGCAAUGCCGCGUGCAGGAUGAAGGCCUUCGGGUUGUAAACUGCCUUUGUACGGAACGAAAAGCCCCGGGUUAAUACCCUGGGGUCAUGACGGUACCGUAAGAAUAAGCACCGGCUAACUACGUGCCAGCAGCCGCAGUAA